RNAcentral lists this ribosomal RNA (681 nucleotides) under Virgibacillus sp. CM1. RNAcentral's name for it is "bacterial SSU rRNA". It matches the Rfam family "Bacterial small subunit ribosomal RNA", at positions 820 to 1502 of the family's 1533-position model. The record is from RNAcentral. Lineage: Bacteria; Bacillati; Bacillota; Bacilli; Caryophanales; Bacillaceae.
AUGUUAGGGGGUUUUCCGCACCUUAGUGCUGAAGUUAACGCAUUAAGCACUCCGCCUGGGGAGUACGGCCGCAAGGCUGAAACUCAAAAGAAUUGACGGGGGCCCGCACAAGCGGUGGAGCAUGUGGUUUAAUUCGAAGCAACGCGAAGAACCUUACCAGGUCUUGACAUCCUCUGCCAAUCCUAGAGAUAGGAUGUUCCCUUCGGGGACAGAGUGACAGGUGGUGCAUGGUUGUCGUCAGCUCGUGUCGUGAGAUGUUGGGUUAAGUCCCGCAACGAGCGCAACCCUUGAUCUUAGUUGCCAGCAUUUAGUUGGGCACUCUAAGGUGACUGCCGGUGACAAACCGGAGGAAGGUGGGGAUGACGUCAAAUCAUCAUGCCCCUUAUGACCUGGGCUACACACGUGCUACAAUGGAUGGAACAAAGGGCAGGGAAGCCGCGAGGUCAAGCAAAUCCCAUAAAACCAUUCUCAGUUCGGAUUGCAGGCUGCAACUCGCCUGCCGAAGCCGGAAUCGCUAGUAAUUAUUAUAUCAGCAUAGCCCGGGUUUCCGUUGGUUAUGCCUUUUACACACCCCCGGUCCCCCCGUGAGAUUUGGUAACCCCCGAAGUGUUCGACGGGACUCUUCUGAGCCAGAGGAUCGACGGGGGACCGCGCUCGAGGUGCAGUCUAAUCAGGCGUACG